UCAUACCAGCCUGUUCACACUCUGUGCAGCAGUCAAUCUCAGUCAGCACACAGCAUGGACAUGAGGGCCCCUGCUCAGCUCUUGGGGCUCCUGCUGCUCUGGAUCCUAGGAGCCAGGUGUGAAAUCCAGACGGCCCAGUCUCUAUCCUCACUGUCGCUGUCUCUAGGAGACACCGCCACCUUCACUUGCAGGGCCAGUGAGAGAAUUGGUUACAGUUUAGCUUGGUACCAGCAGAAACCAGGGAAAGCUCCAAAACUCCUGAUCUAUGCUGCAGAUACUUUGUUGUCUGGAGUUCCAUCAAGGUUCAGUGGUGAUGGAUAUGGGACAGAGUUUACUCUCACCAUCAGCAGCCUGCAGCCUGAAUAUGUUGCCACUUAUUACUGUCAACAAG
Non-coding RNA from Dipodomys ordii (Ord's kangaroo rat), 391 nucleotides. The record is from the annotation of a RefSeq genome assembly. NCBI's taxonomy places the organism in Eukaryota, Metazoa, Chordata, Mammalia, Rodentia, Heteromyidae.